AAUAUUGGUCAAUGGAGGCAACUCUGAACCAGCCACGUCGCGUGAAGUAUGACGGCCCUACGGUGCGUGAACUUUGUGCUGCGAGGAAUGAAGCUGGUCCCGGGUGACUUUUUGCAUGUACUUUAUGAAUAAGGAUCGGCUAACUCCGUGCCAGCAGCCGCGGUACUAGGGAGGAUCCAAGCGUUAUCCGGAUUUAUUGGGUUUAAAGGGUGCGCAGGCGGAAGAUUAAGUAGGCGGUGAAAUUUUGCAGCUCAACUGUAAAAGUGCCAUCGAUACUGGUUUUCUUGAGUGUGGAUGAAGUAGGCGGAAUUUGUGGUGUAGCGGUGAAAUGCAUAGAUAUCACGAGGAACUCCGAUUGCGCAGGCAGCUUACUAGGCCAUAACUGACGCUCAGGCACGAAGGCGUGGGGAUCAAACAGG
This 419-nucleotide ribosomal RNA is filed under the name uncultured bacterium. Its description in RNAcentral is "partial 16S ribosomal RNA". It matches the Rfam family "Bacterial small subunit ribosomal RNA", at positions 360 to 776 of the family's 1533-position model. The record is from RNAcentral.